GUGGCUGGGCGCGGCUGACAUCUGCAAGGCGCCGUAGAGAAUGGGGUCAGGCAGGCAUCGUGGCCGGGGCUCGUGAUGGAAGGCUGACAAGAGACUGGCCAUGACUCCCGAAGGCGUGAGUGGACGCCGGUAGAGGCACGACGGGAGCUCGGCGCCGCCGUCCGUCUGCGAGAGCUCCCCGGGUGGCCUUGCCCGGUGGCCGGCAACGUGCCCGCCCUCUGCGGAUGCUCGGAAGGCCUGGGAUCGCAGAGCCGGGAGGGACGGGCGUGGCCGAGAAGAAUGUGACCCCGUUCGUCGCCGUUCUGCGGCCAACUUGUGCUUGUUUUCCGCGGUGGGUGUCAUAGAGGCGAAGUGACACCUCAUGGGGGUCAAUGAAGACGAAAUCUGCAAACGCGUUUUUAUUUUUAAAAAAUUUAAAAAAACUUUUUUAGGGCCGCACCUGCGCCAUAGGGAGGUUCCCAGGCUGGGGGGGGAUUCGGAGCUGCAGCUGCUGACCUACCCCCACAGCCACAGCAAAGCGGGGUUAGAGCCGCGUCUGCGACCUACACCGCAGCUCACGGCAACGCCGGAUCCUUAACCUACUGAGCAAGGCCGGGACUGAACCUGUGUCCUCCUGGCUGCUAGUCAGAUUUGUUUCCUCUAAGCCUAAACGGGAACUUCUGCAAACGCGUUUUUAAAUUGUGGGACUAAUUCGUGUGUACGGUUCCGGAGUUGUAUCGAUGCGAUUUUGUUUGAGCUGUUCAGCAUCUCAAAUACCACGGUGUAGUAUUUCAAACGGUACAGUGGUGGGUUAAGCUGUACAAAGCAAUUCAGUUUUAACUCCUUGCCUAGUGGUUAAUAGACACAAUGGGAAUUAGACCCAUGAUUACAUUAGGAAAGUUGCUUUAGAAAAAGAACAUUCCCUUUUGGGGGGAGCACCUGCUGCAUUCGGAAGUUCCUAGCCAGGGAUGGGACCAGAGACCAGAGUCACAGCAGUGACAAUGCGGAGUCCUUAACUUCUAAGCGACCAGGGAACUCCCGGAAGAGGAACAUUCUUAGAGCAGCGGUUCUUAACCCCCUUCUUUUUUUUUUUUUUUCUUUUUUCAGAGAGAGAUUUAUUGCUAUACUUGAAAAUGCAAACAAAGUUUGUGCAUGCAUUCAGGUAGGAAACCAGUGCAUGUAAUUUCAGGGUGUUUAUGAACCCUCCCCAAAAGCCUAUCCAGGGACUCCUGUUAAAGACUGUUUAUCUGGAUACUAGACGAUACAUUAUAAGAGUUAACAAAACAAAACAAAACGUGGCCCCUAUUUGUCCUUUGCCAUUCUGUUUACUUCCCCUAGGAUAAGACAUGCAAAACUGAUCUUUGCUGAGCAUGUAUUUAAAACCAGUACAGGUACCGUACCCAGCCAGGGACCUGCUGUCCUGUACUUUUCACACCUUCCUUGUAAACGGGAUGGAGUAGUGUGAGCUGUACGUAUGACUCGUGUGACUAACUGUGUCACAAAAGGAGAGAUGUCCUGUAGGAGGCACGCUCUGAAGUCUUUUUGUUUCAUCAACGAAAAGAACACUUUUAAGACCCCUCCGGAGGAUACGGGCCUUGGCAAGGCCGUCCAGUUGUGACAGAGCUACGGCCAGAGCCCAGGGCUCACAGCCCAGCAUCCCUUGUCACUUCAACAACCGUUGAAUGCCUCCUGUUGGGAACUCCACAGAUGUUUGGUGUGGAGCUACAAGUGGCCCUCACGUCUUCCAGCGGUCCCAGGUCACCUUUCCCGCACGUCUCAGUGCCUGUGAUUGCUCUAAAUCCUCACCGCUUAAACCUUUCUCGCCACAUCUCUCCCUGUCCCAGCGCCAGCCUCACCUCCUGCCCAGCCAUCCUUAGUGCAUAAUAUGCGCUCAACUAGUUCCCAAAGGAAUGAACCCUGCUUUUGCUUCAUUGAGAUAAACAUGAUCCCAGGCAUUUCUGAGUUAGUUGCCCUCUGACCAGUAGCUUGAAUCUUUGGUUCUGUCUCUGUGAAGCUCUUUCAUUCCAAACUCUUUCUGGUGCCUUAGAAAUUGAACAGUGACUUUUGUUUUUAUCAUGGAAUAUAAUUAUUAGUCAGCUUGCUCUGUCCUUAUCAUGGAAAGGACCCAGGUAGACUCUAUACUCAGCAGUGAAAUGCCUCUCUGGUUAAAAUCACAACUUUUCUGCUUGCAGUAAUCCAGCAUUUAUCUAAGGCUAACCGAGAUACUACAAUUACUUCUUAAUUACAUCUUGUGGUACGAGGUCAUUGGCGCCCUUCUCAUGCAAAUAAAAACGAUUUACGCGUGUUAUAGCACAAUAGGUGCUAUUCACAGUGGAUUUCAGUGCUUCCUAGAACCACAGCUUUAAACCGGCCCUAACUCGGGAGAACUGAGGCCGUUUGUGUGCAACCUCUAGCCCCAUUGAAUUUGGCGACUUUUCAUUUAGUGAAGCUCUUUGUCCCUCACUUUAUGAAAUCGUCCUGCGAAAGCCUGAGCCCCUUUUUUCUGAGAUCUGCAUUUCAGCAGUGUCUUUGAACUUGCUGCACCUCUGAGGUAUGUUUAUGGUUUCCAGGCCGGGUCGUUUUCACCUUCAUAUUCAGGAGACAACCCGGCCCGCUGGUCUACCUAAGUCAAAGUGGGUUCAUGGCCACGAACCUUGCAUCCCGCUCUGCUGCUUGAGGUCCGUGACAGGAAACGUUGUCGUGUCGGCUUGGCCGCUGUGCUCUGUCAGAAGUGUCUCUUGAGUCAAGCCUGGUUUCCCCUGGUGAAGAAAACUGCAAGACGACUUCCUGCCGCGGUGCAGGGGACUGAGAGAGCCUGAUGCUGGUGGCUCCGGUUGUCGCUGCCGAGGUGGAGGUUCAAUCCCUGGCCGGGUGCAGUGGGUUAAAGGAUCCGGCGUUGUCUCAUCUUCAAACCCUGGCCCGGGAACUUCAUGCGCUGCCGAGCAGCUGUUACCCAAAAUAAAAACAAAAAAAAAAA
This 2956-nucleotide long non-coding RNA is filed under the name Sus scrofa (pig). Its description in RNAcentral is "lncRNA (ENSSSCG00060032710.1)". Lineage: Eukaryota; Metazoa; Chordata; Mammalia; Artiodactyla; Suidae. The record is from RNAcentral.